Molecule: ribosomal RNA, 934 nt
Filed under: Vibrio campbellii
Lineage: Bacteria; Pseudomonadati; Pseudomonadota; Gammaproteobacteria; Vibrionales; Vibrionaceae
Description: bacterial SSU rRNA
Rfam family: Bacterial small subunit ribosomal RNA
Source: RNAcentral
AGGAUGAUCAGCCACACUGGAACUGAGACACGGUCCAGACUCCUACGGGAGGCAGCAGUGGGGAAUAUUGCACAAUGGGCGCAAGCCUGAUGCAGCCAUGCCGCGUGUGUGAAGAAGGCCUUCGGGUUGUAAAGCACUUUCAGUCGUGAGGAAGGUAGUGUAGUUAAUAGCUGCAUUAUUUGACGUUAGCGACAGAAGAAGCACCGGCUAACUCCGUGCCAGCAGCCGCGGUAAUACGGAGGGUGCGAGCGUUAAUCGGAAUUACUGGGCGUAAAGCGCAUGCAGGUGGUUUGUUAAGUCAGAUGUGAAAGCCCGGGGCUCAACCUCGGAAUAGCAUUUGAAACUGGCAGACUAGAGUACUGUAGAGGGGGGUAGAAUUUCAGGUGUAGCGGUGAAAUGCGUAGAGAUCUGAAGGAAUACCGGUGGCGAAGGCGGCCCCCUGGACAGAUACUGACACUCAGAUGCGAAAGCGUGGGGAGCAAACAGGAUUAGAUACCCUGGUAGUCCACGCCGUAAACGAUGUCUACUUGGAGGUUGUGGCCUUGAGCCGUGGCUUUCGGAGCUAACGCGUUAAGUAGACCGCCUGGGGAGUACGGUCGCAAGAUUAAAACUCAAAUGAAUUGACGGGGGCCCGCACAAGCGGUGGAGCAUGUGGUUUAAUUCGAUGCAACGCGAAGAACCUUACCUACUCUUGACAUCCAGAGAACUUUCCAGAGAUGGAUUGGUGCCUUCGGGAACUCUGAGACAGGUGCUGCAUGGCUGUCGUCAGCUCGUGUUGUGAAAUGUUGGGUUAAGUCCCGCAACGAGCGCAACCCUUAUCCUUGUUUGCCAGCGAGUAAUGUCGGGAACUCCAGGGAGACUGCCGGUGAUAAACCGGAGGAAGGUGGGGACGACGUCAAGUCAUCAUGGCCCUUACGAGUAGGGCUACACACGU